GAUCCUGGCUCAGGACGAACGCUGGCGGCGUGCUUAACACAUGCAAGUCGAACGAGAAUCUACUGAAAGAGUUUUCGGACAAUGGAUGUAGAGGAAAGUGGCGGACGGGUGAGUAACGCGUGAGGAACCUGCCUUGAAGAGGGGGACAACACGUUGGAAACGACUGCUAAUACCGCAUGAAGCAUAGGGGUCGCAUGAUCUUUAUGCCAAAGAUUUAUCGCUUCAAGAUGGCCUCGCG
Molecule: ribosomal RNA, 238 nt
Filed under: uncultured bacterium
Lineage: Bacteria
Description: partial 16S ribosomal RNA
Rfam family: Bacterial small subunit ribosomal RNA
Source: RNAcentral